GACGAACGCUGGCGGCGUGCUUAACACAUGCAAGUCGAACGGAAAGGCCCUUCGGGGUACUCGAGUGGCGAACGGGUGAGUAACACGUGGGUGAUCUGCCCUGCACUUUGGGAUAAGCCUGGGAAACUGGGUCUAAUACCGAAUAGGACCACGCGCUUCAUGGUGUGUGGUGGAAAGCUUUUGCGGUGUGGGAUGGGCCCGCGGCCUAUCAGCUUGUUGGUGGGGUAAUGGCCUACCAAGGCGACGACGGGUAGCCGGCCUGAGAGGGUGACCGGCCACACUGGGACUGAGAUACGGCCCAGACUCGUACGGGAGGCAGCAGUGGGAAAUAUUGCACAAUGGGCGCAAGCCUGAUGCAGCGACGCCGGGUGAGGGAUGACGGCCUUCGGGUUAUAAACCUCUUUCAAUAGGGACGAAGCGCAAGUGACGGUACCUAUAGAAGAAGCACCGGCCAACUACGUG
Molecule: ribosomal RNA, 462 nt
Filed under: uncultured bacterium
Lineage: Bacteria
Description: partial 16S ribosomal RNA
Rfam family: Bacterial small subunit ribosomal RNA
Source: RNAcentral